ACUCCUACGGGAGGCAGCAGUGAGGAAUAUUGGUCAAUGGAGGGAACUCUGAACCAGCCAUCCCGCGUGUAGGAAGACGGCCUUAUGGGUUGUAAACUACUUUUAUACAGGAAGAAACGUACCCUCGUGAGGGUGCCUGACGGUACUGUAGGAAUAAGCACCGGCUAACUCCGUGCCAGCAGCCGCGGUAAUACGGAGGGGUGCGAGCGUUAUCCGGAUUUAUUGGGGUUUAAAGGGUCCGUAGGCGGAUUAAUAAGUCAGUGGUGAAAUCCCAUCGCUUAACGAUGGAACUGCCAUUGAUACUGUUAGUCUUGAAUGAGGGUGCAGUGGUUGGAAUGUGUAGUGUAGCGGUGAAAUGCAUAGAUAUUACACAGAACACCGAUUGCGAAGGCAGAUCACUAACCCUAAAUUGACGCUGAGGGACGAAAGCGUGGGGAGCGAACAGGAUUAGAUACCCUGGUAGGACAGUG
This 470-nucleotide ribosomal RNA is filed under the name uncultured bacterium. RNAcentral describes it as "bacterial SSU rRNA". It matches the Rfam family "Bacterial small subunit ribosomal RNA", at positions 335 to 799 of the family's 1533-position model. The record is from RNAcentral.